RNAcentral lists this ribosomal RNA (275 nucleotides) under uncultured bacterium. RNAcentral's name for it is "partial 16S ribosomal RNA". It matches the Rfam family "Bacterial small subunit ribosomal RNA", at positions 338 to 610 of the family's 1533-position model. The record is from RNAcentral.
CCUACGGGGGGCUGCAGUAAGGAAUAUUGGUCAAUGGACGCAAGUCUGAACCAGCCAUGCCGCGUGAAGGAUGAAGGUCCUCUGGAUUGUAAACUUCUUUUAUUUGGGACGAAAAAAGAUCAUUCUUGAUCACUUGACGGUACCAUUUGAAUAAGCACCGGCUAACUCCGUGCCAGCAGCCGCGGUAAUACGGAGGGUGCAAGCGUUAUCCGGAUUCACUGGGUUUAAAGGGUGCGUAGGCGGACAAUUAAGUCAGUGGUGAAAUCUCGGAGCUU